AAUACCAACCAUAGAGUCAGAAGACUUGCCUUUGAGGUCUAUCCCAACCGUUUUCCAGCUGUUUGGCUGUGAGCAAAUCACUAAAUUUCUUUGUCUCCAUUUCACCAAUUAUGAAAUGAGAAUGAUUGCUUCUGUUCAUUUAGUAACUCACUGUAAACGUGAGAGGAUUUUGUAAACUCAUAUGUCCUAUUCAAAUGCGAGGAUGCACGCCUCUUUCCCUCCGCUGAGGAAAUGAUUACUCCAGAGCUAUUUUUUAAUAUUCAACACCUUCU
Molecule: long non-coding RNA, 272 nt
Filed under: Pan troglodytes (chimpanzee)
Lineage: Eukaryota; Metazoa; Chordata; Mammalia; Primates; Hominidae
Description: long non-coding RNA NONPTRT012031
Source: RNAcentral